GACGAACGCUGGCGGCGUGCCUAAUACAUGCAAGUUGAGCGAUGAAGAUUGGUGCUUGCACCAAUUUGAAGAGCAGCGAACGGGUGAGUAACGCGUGGGGAAUCUGCCUUUGAGCGGGGGACAACAUUUGGAAACGAAUGCUAAUACCGCAUAACAACUUUAAACAUAAGUUUUAAGUUUGAAAGAUGCAAUUGCAUCACUCAAAGAUGAUCCCGCGUUGUAUUAGCUAGUUGGUGAGGUAAGGGCUCACCAAGGCGAUGAUACAUAGCCGACCUGAGAGGGUGAUAGGCCCCACUGGGACUGAGACAUGGCCCAAACUCCUAAGGGAGGCAGCAGUAGGGAAACUUCGGCAACGGACGAAAGUCUGAAAGCGAAAAGCCGAGUGAGUGAAGAAGGGUGUCGGAUCGGAAAACACUGUUGGUAGAGAAGAAGGUUGGGGAAAGUGGAAGGCUCAUAAAGUGACGGUAACUACCCAGAAAGGGACGGCUAACUACGUG
This 497-nucleotide ribosomal RNA is filed under the name uncultured bacterium. RNAcentral describes it as "partial 16S ribosomal RNA". It matches the Rfam family "Bacterial small subunit ribosomal RNA", at positions 28 to 507 of the family's 1533-position model. The record is from RNAcentral.